UACGAAGGGGGCUAGCGUUGCUCGGAAUCACUGGGCGUAAAGGGCGCGUAGGCGGCCAAGUAAGUUGGGGGUGAAAGCCCGUGGCUCAACCACGGAAUUGCCUUCGAUACUGCUUGGCUUGAGACCGGAAGAGGUGAGUGGAACUGCGAGUGUAGAGGUGAAAUUCGUAGAUAUUCGCAAGAACACCAGUGGCGAAGGCGGCUCACUGGUCCGGAUCUGACGCUGAGGCGCGGAAGCGUGGGGAGCAAACAGG
This 253-nucleotide ribosomal RNA is filed under the name uncultured bacterium. RNAcentral's name for it is "partial 16S ribosomal RNA". It matches the Rfam family "Bacterial small subunit ribosomal RNA", at positions 524 to 776 of the family's 1533-position model. The record is from RNAcentral.